RNAcentral lists this ribosomal RNA (253 nucleotides) under uncultured bacterium. RNAcentral's name for it is "partial 16S ribosomal RNA". It matches the Rfam family "Bacterial small subunit ribosomal RNA", at positions 524 to 776 of the family's 1533-position model. The record is from RNAcentral.
UACGGAGGGGGCUAGCGUUGUUCGGAAUUACUGGGCGUAAAGCGCGCGUAGGCGGCUUUGUAAGUUAGAGGUGAAAGCCCGGAGCUCAACUCCGGAAUAGCCUUUAAGACUGCAUCGCUAGAACGUUGGAGAGGUAAGUGGAAUUCCGAGUGUAGAGGUGAAAUUCGUAGAUAUUCGGAAGAACACCAGUGGCGAAGGCGACUUACUGGACAACUGUUGACGCUGAGGUGCGAAAGCGUUGGGAGCAAACAGG